Non-coding RNA from Nerophis lumbriciformis (worm pipefish), 589 nucleotides. The record is from RefSeq and is a predicted model, not a curated record. NCBI's taxonomy places the organism in Eukaryota, Metazoa, Chordata, Actinopteri, Syngnathiformes, Syngnathidae.
UUGUGUGUUGUUUGCUGUGUGAUGUUGCCUGGAUCACAUUCCCAUCAUGCCAGCUCUCAAAUGGGGGAGACGAGUGUGGGGAGGUGGACAGGCAAAGGUUUCACCGCAAGUCUGUAUUUAAAAAAAUAAAAAAUAAAAUAAAAAAUGCACGUUCUUUGAGGCGACGUUGUUUUGGUGGCGUUUUUGCAGCAAAUCCGUGCUGUUAUUGAGCAGCAGUGUUUGGAAAAAUUAUUUUAAAAAUUUAAAUAUUUAUAUAAAAAAAUUACGUUUUAAAUUACUCUUAAUAAAUGUAUUUACUUACUACGGAAAUUCAUUAUUGCGUUACUUUGAAAAAACAAACAAAAAAACAAAAAUAUCUGCUAUAUACACUUGGAAGACGUUUCAUGAAAGCAGAGUGUGUAAGCGUGUGCCUGUUGCCAAUGCACAAAUGAGGUAUUGUAGGACUGCAAGAUUAUCACUUCAAUCAUUGAUGUGUUGUUCAUUAUCCCCACGUUGCAAAAGUAGUGUGUACUUGUGUGUUGUUUGCUGUGUGAUGUUGCCUGGAUCACAUUCCCAUCAUGCCAGCUCUCAAAUGGGGGAGACGAGUGUG